GAUUACACACCAGGUUGGUUCGUGUCCUCCUCCUCCUCUUCCUCCCCCCUCCUCCAGGUCCAGGCUGUGGGAGGAUUACACUCUGUGUUGUCUCUCCACACCGGCAGCUUCCUCUGACCCAUCGGUUGGUUGAGGACCUGGUUGAGGACCUGGUUGAGGACCUGGUGAGGACCUGGUUGAGGACCUGGUUGAGGACCUGGUAAGGACCUUGUGAGGACCUGGUGAGGACCUGGUGAGGACCUGGUUGAGGACCUGGUUGAGGACCAUGGGUUUCCUCUCGUCCGUCCGAGACCGAGCUGAGAAGUUCCUGAACGAGAAGAACGUGGUGACAGAUUUCCUGGGGAAGUUGGAGGAGAAGACAGGAAUAAAGAAGAAGAUCAUCGCAGCAGGCGCCGUCUCGCUGACCGGACUCUACCUGGUGUACGGAUAUGGAGCCUCCCUCGUCUGCAACCUGAUCGGCUUCGCCUAUCCGGCGUAUUUUUCAAUCAAAGCCAUCGAGAGUCCGAGCAAAGAAGACGACACAAAAUGGCUGACGUACUGGGUGGUGUACGGCGUCUUCAGCCUGGGCGAGUUCUUCUCCGACAUCUUCCUCUACUGGUUUCCAUUUUACUACGCCUUCAAGUGUCUCUUCCUGUUGUGGUGCAUGGCCCCCACGGCGUGGAACGGCUCCCAGUUCAUCUACAACAAAAUGGUCCGGCCCGUCUUCCUCCGCCACGAGGCCACGGUGGACAACAUGGUGAGCGACCUGAGCGGGAAGGCCAUGAGCGCCGCCGAGCACCUCACCAGAGAAGGUACGGACGGGUCCCUGGGAGGCGUCGUGUCGCAGCAGCUCCAAGCUUCACGACGCGUCACAGUGACCACUAACCUCUGUUUGCUCCGCCCCCUCGUCAGUCCUGACCACGCUGGUGAGGAACAAAUCUGUGGUGACUCCGGCGCCGGCCGUCACUCAGUCUGAGGCCCUGAGUUUACCGAGCUCGUCGACGGAGCCAUCGGCUGCUAAAAGAGCUUCGUCACAACCGAGUGAAGAACGACCGCCGUUCCUGGGUUAACGGCAGGUAAGUCAACUGUCGUCACUGUGCUGAGGAGCCAAUCAGCUCUGUGAAGGUUCAGAGACAGAGACCCGAUCAGACCUGUAGCCCCGCCCCUCCACACACCUCCACCUUCCUCACCUGCUGCUCCUCUACCUCACUGAUCUGCUCUCUGGUGACGGAAGCACCACAGAGGACGAUUCACAGGAAGUGGAGCGACGGGUUUCCUGUUAGUUUGUGAUUGGUUAUCAGCAGAGUGUGAUGUGACCUUGUUCUUUUAAUGUUUCCUGUUUGUCUGUCGUCAGGAGGAAGUCAGUGUAGACUGACGGUAAGUCACAGACGUGACCAGUCGAAAACUUUACUUUUCUACUGUUUCCUGUUUGUAAGAAAGUAGAAAUACUCACAGCAGUAAAAGUGCAGAAGUUUCAACAUCAACUUAAGUACCAAAAGUAAAAGAAUUCACCAUACAGAGAUCAAUAACGUGUUAAUAUCUGUACAGUGUACUGAUCAGAUAAUAUGUGAUCAGAACACUGAUGAUAAAUGUGACGAGAGGAUUCAGUCCACAUGAUCAAACUCAGAAUCUUCAGAAAUUUAACAUAGUUAAAAUAUGAAUCAAACCAUAAGUGAAAAUCAUAAUUAAAAACACAUUUGUUUUUUGUUGACGCUUUUUUUACACUUUCCUAUUAAUGUUUUUAUUAUUAAUUAAUUGAUAAAAUAAUUCCUCAGCAGGUUCUCUCUGGAUUUUCAGUCCUUCAGGUAGCAGCAGAGGAAGGGGAGGGGCCAGAGAAGGGAAGAGGAGGAGUCAGAGAGAGGAAGCAUCAUCCUCCUGCCGCUGAUUCCUGUGACAUCACAUCACUUCUGUCUCUGCACCAAACUGCAAAAUACGACUCUGCACAAACAGUUUCUUAUUUAUUUAUUUAUUUAUCUAUUCAUAUUUGUGGAUGUUUUUUUAGAAGGGAAGCAUCUGGAACCAUUUUCUAACAAACUCACUGGUUCACGUUUAUCAGGCUGCAGAUUCUCCACCAGGGGGCGAUGUGUGUGUGUGUGUGUGUGUGUGUGUGUGUGUGCGUGUGUAUGUGUGUGUGUGUGUUUGUGUGUGUCCGCAUGUGUGUGCGUGUGUUUGUGCCUGGAUGCUUGUUUUUCAUCAUGUUAUUUAUUACUUUGUUGUUUUGUUAAUGAAACAUGAUAUUUUGACCUCAAUCAAUAUGAAAAUAUCAUUAUGAGAUAAAGAAAUAAAAAUCAGAUUAAAACUA
This is an RNA transcript of Scophthalmus maximus (turbot), 2281 nucleotides long. It is a transcript of the gene named receptor accessory protein 6, with no coding region annotated. Lineage: Eukaryota; Metazoa; Chordata; Actinopteri; Pleuronectiformes; Scophthalmidae. The transcript has 5 exons. The record is from RefSeq and is a predicted model, not a curated record.